This 229-nucleotide ribosomal RNA is filed under the name uncultured bacterium. Its description in RNAcentral is "partial 16S ribosomal RNA". It matches the Rfam family "Bacterial small subunit ribosomal RNA", at positions 568 to 796 of the family's 1533-position model. The record is from RNAcentral.
UGCGUAGGCGGACCAGUAAGUCAGUGGUGAAAUCUUUCAGCUCAACCGAGAAACUGCCAUUGAUACUGUUGGUCUUGAGUUCGGUAGAGGUAGGCGGAAUGUGUAAUGUAGCGGUGAAAUGCUUAGAUAUUACACAGAACACCAAUUGCGUAGGCAGCUUACUAUACCGACACUGACGCUGAGGCACGAAAGCGUGGGGAGCGAACAGGAUUAGAUACCCUGGUAGUCC